GACGUACCACCCGAACGUUAUUCGGAUUUACUGGGCUUAAAGAGUCCGUAGGCGGCCAAGUAAGUUGGGUGUGAAAUACCUCGGCUUAACCGAGGAGCUGCAUUCAAAACUACUUGGCUUGAGAGAGACAGAGGUGAGCGGAACUGAUGGUGGAGCGGUGAAAUGCGUUGAUAUCAUCAGGAACACCGGUGGCGAAAGCGGCUCACUGGGUCUUAUCUGACGCUCAGGGACGAAAGCUAGGGGAGCGAACGGG
RNAcentral lists this ribosomal RNA (253 nucleotides) under uncultured bacterium. RNAcentral's name for it is "partial 16S ribosomal RNA". It matches the Rfam family "Bacterial small subunit ribosomal RNA", at positions 524 to 776 of the family's 1533-position model. The record is from RNAcentral.